AAAAACAGUACAAGGUUACAGUCUCUGUUGCUUCUUCCCAGUUAAACAUUUACUUACAUUUGUUUUGCCAUUUUUCAAUUAUCAGUUUAUCAGUUUCAAACGGAAUUUUAUUCAACGCUGAAUCUCAUCUCAUCAACAUCAAUGCCCAGUAUCCAUUAGAUCCAUCGGAAUCGACUGAAUGACCACCACCUUCCUGUUCUAAGUACUAGCGCCGCAGGAGUGUUUACAUCUCUUUUGGUAUAUUAAAUUCACUCCUGCAGCCUUGGUGCUUACUAUGGGACGGUGCAGGGUAAAUUAGUAAAUUAAUAACAUUUGUUUUUUUUAUUUAUUUAUGUCUUUCAAGUCAAAUUUUAUUUUUCAUUAGUGUUUUCUGCUCAGCCGACUCAUGAAGUAAGAAUGAAUUUGAUCCAGAGUUCUGCUAUCGUUGUUUUAUAAUUUAACAACAGGAGAUGAGGUGGAAUCAAGACAGUCGACCUCCAGAAGUUUCCAGAGGAAUUAAAGGAUCGAAAUAAGGAGUCGGCCAAAGUCCAAUGACUCAAAUGUGAAUCAAUUUAAUGACCGUAAAAAUGUAUUAAUAUAAAUAAAUAAAUAAAUUUGAUUGAAGUUUGAA
Molecule: long non-coding RNA, 610 nt
Organism: Tetranychus urticae (two-spotted spider mite)
Lineage: Eukaryota; Metazoa; Arthropoda; Arachnida; Trombidiformes; Tetranychidae
Source: RefSeq, a predicted model, not a curated record